UACGUAGGGUGCAAGCGUUAAUCGGAAUUACUGGGCGUAAGCGUGCGCAGGCGGUUUUGUAAGUCUGUCGUGAAAUCCCUGGGCUCAACCUAGGAAUUGCGAUGGAGACUGCAAGGCUAGAAUCUGGCAGAGGGGGGUAGAAUUCCACGUGUAGCAGUGAAAUGCGUAGAGAUGUGGGAGGAACACCGAUGGCGAAGGCAGCCCCCUGGGUCAAGAUUGACGCUCAUGCACGAAAGCGUGGGGAGCAAACAGG
This 253-nucleotide ribosomal RNA is filed under the name uncultured bacterium. RNAcentral describes it as "partial 16S ribosomal RNA". It matches the Rfam family "Bacterial small subunit ribosomal RNA", at positions 524 to 776 of the family's 1533-position model. The record is from RNAcentral.